UCGAGAAUCUUUCGCAAUGGGGGAAACCCUGACGAAGCGACGCCGCGUGCGCGAAGAAGGCCUUCGGGUUGUAAAGCGCUUUGAGCAGGGGCGAAUGGUAACGUGUUAACAGCACGGUGCCCUGACGGUACCUGCAGAACAAGCCACGGCUAACCUCGUGCCAGCAGCCGCGGUAAGACGAGGGUGGUAAGCGUUGUUCGGAUUCACUGGGCGUAAAGGGGGUCUAGGUGGUUGUUUAAGUUCCUUGUGAAAUCCCGGAGCUCAACUCCGGAUGUGCAGGGGAUACUGAAUGACUGGAGCGUGUAAGACGCGUGCGGAAUACUGGGUGUAGCGGUGAAAUGCGUAGAUAUCCAGUAGAACACCAGUGGCGAAAGCGGCCCGCGUGUGCAUUGCUGACACUGACGCCCGAAAGCGUGGGGAGCAAACA
RNAcentral lists this ribosomal RNA (427 nucleotides) under uncultured prokaryote. RNAcentral describes it as "bacterial SSU rRNA". It matches the Rfam family "Bacterial small subunit ribosomal RNA", at positions 355 to 774 of the family's 1533-position model. The record is from RNAcentral.